Globicephala melas (long-finned pilot whale) is the source of this 11027-nucleotide RNA transcript. It is a transcript of the gene named transmembrane protein 177, with no coding region annotated. The record is from RefSeq and is a predicted model, not a curated record. Lineage: Eukaryota; Metazoa; Chordata; Mammalia; Artiodactyla; Delphinidae.
CCCAAGAGUCCCGCCCUUUUGCCUCCGCCCUCGGAGCCCCGACCCCGGAGCCGGCCGGUGAGCUUUGCGCCUGGCCCGGUCUCACCCUGCGCAUGUGCUCGGCGUCCUGGGCUGCUGCGGAGGCGGAGGUUUACAGAGGUGGCAGCCCUCAUGGCAGGUCCCCUGUGGCGGGCCACAGCCUUUGUGCAGAGACACAGGACGGCCCUGUUGGUGGGUUCCUGUGCAGGCCUGUUUGGGGCUCAGAUCUCGUACCACCUCUUCCCGGAUCCUGUGGUCCCGUGGCUCUACCAGUACUGGCCUCAGGGCCAGCCAGCCUCCCUGUCCCCAGAGCUGCAGAGCCUGUUCGAGGAGGUGCAGCAGGAUAUCGGGGUCCCCUCGGGCCACCGCUUCAAGGCCUUCACCACCUUCACCUUCCAGCCUGUGAGCGCCGGCUUCCCGAGACUCCCUGCCGGGGCCGUGGUGGGCAUCCCCGCCAGCUUCCUGGGUGACCCAGUGACCAACACUGACCGGCCCGUGGUCGUCCACGGGCAGCGAGUGGACUGGCAGAGCCCAGUGGGUGCCCGGCUGAGAGAUGCCCUGACUCUGUCCCACGACGCCCAGAAGUUCGCCUUGGCCAGGGAGGUGGUGCACCUGGAGAGCGGGGCGGCCGCCCUGCAGGCCCUGCCAGCCCCUGCCUGCCUGGUGGGCACCUGGGCUCUGGGCGUGGGAGCCAAGCACGCCCUGGGGCUCUACGGAGGCCCCAUGAACUUGCGAGCCGCCUUCAACUUGGUGGCGGCAGUGGCGGGCUUCGUGGCCUAUGCCUUGUCCACGGACUCUCUCACUCACUCCCUGGAAGCCUGGCUGGACCGCCGCACGGCCUCGCUGUCCGCAGCCUAUGCCCGGGGCGGGGUGGAGUUCUACGAGAAGGUUCUGUCGGGCAACCUGGCCCUGCGCGGCCUCCUGGGCCGGCCCGGAGAGAAGCUGUACACGCCCAGCGGGAACGUGGUUCCCAGACACUGGUUCCGCAUCAAGCACCUGCCCUACACGGCCCGCCGGGACUCGAUGCUGCAGGUGUGGAGGGCGGCGCUGAGCCCCCGCAGCCCCUGAGGGCCUCAUGGCAGGGGCGGUUCCAGCUGGAGCAGCAGCACACAAAGCGGAAAUUCUGGACUCCUCAGAGGUUACAUGCCGGCCCACGUCACACCCGCCGCGGAGCCACGGCUCAUGGGGCAACGUCAGCUGCAAAGACCAGAAUUUCCUCUGGCUCCCCUCCCGGACUCAGUGUGUUCUUGGUUGGCCUCAGCCUGCAGCGGCUUGAAGCAGGGUUUCGGUUCCCGGCCAGAGAUUGAGGUCGGGUCGUGGAGGUGAGAGCACCGAAUCCAAGCCACCUGACCAGCGGUCAGUGACAAGGCCCUGGCCCUUCAGCUUUGCAGAAAAGAAUUCCCACAAAGACAGAAGGUAGAGAAGCGAAGUGUUUAUUAGGAGAAAAGAAGAGUGCAGUACGUGUGGAUAGACACACGGGCGGGCUCAGAGAGAGAGUCGCGCCCUUGUGGCCAUUUGAAUCACUUUUAUGGGGCAUUUCUGCCGGGUUUCCUCUGGCCAGUCAUCUCGCUCUGCCUGCCUCUGUGUCCGUAUUCGUUUAUCUCAGGGUCCUGGCCUGUGCGUGCGCAUCUCUUAGCCGAGGUGGAUUCCACCGCAGAGGCCUAUGGGGAGUUGCCAUCACCUACUGCGGGGCGGUGCCCCUCCCUUUUUGACCUCCAAGGAGCUUCCUAGCCGGGAAUGUCUCCUUGACUUCGAGAAUGAGGAGUAUGUGGUCUCUUAUCUUCUGUGGGGCAGGGCCCAGCCUCCUCUCUCGAUUGUCCUGCUGAUCUCGUCUUGGAGUAUUGGUCCACAGGGAAUGAAUCUCCAGUUGCUUACCCUGGGGCGGCCCGUGGUCAGACCUGGCUCCAGGCGAAACUGAAGCACAUGUUCAAGGUCUCACCGAAGGGCCCCAGCUCGCGGCAGAUCUCUUUUCUCCCUGCGCUCUUCUCUCUGCCGCUCACCUUCUCGGUCUCUCUCUUUCACGAGCGGAUUCCCUCCUUGCUCUCUCUGGUCGUCUGAAGAUAGCUCCUGACAGCAGGCACGGCCCUGCAGCUCAGAGCUCUAAGAGGGCAAGUCCCCUCUGCAGCCCCGACCCUACAGGAGGGGUGAGGGAGGGCAGGGACGCGGGGGGCGUGCCUUAGGAAACAAGCUCUCUCUUCCACCCCCUCCUUUACUCUCCUUCCGUGCUUCUCCCCAUUUAGCCGCUGUGCCCCGGCCCUCUGGAAAGACAGGCAGAUAUACAGAGCAGAAAGCAGAAUAAAAGCAGUCGCUUCCUCCCAGACCAUUAGGGGAAGAGAGUCACUGGGAGCAGACAAAAGAUCUGGGAGGAAACCACCAGGGAGUGGGAGCUGAUUCCCUGCGGAGGAACUGGAGCGGAGCUGUCCUUUCAGAAAACCAGGUGCCCCUGUGAAGUGAUGGAGCCGCAGGCAGAUUCCCGGGAAUCCAGAGGGUCACUGUGAUGGUUGACGAGUCUGUGCUGUGAAGCGUCCGGCCCUGUGUCAGGUCACAGUGGGGACUCGGCUGCCUUGUCUGGAGUGGACUUACUGCAGCAGCUGCAUGGUGAAGAAGAGACGGGGUGUGAGAGGCAACGCUUCGUGCCGUGACCUACGGCUGGCACAUAGCAGUGGCCCCUAAUAGGCUGUUGACAAGUCAGUGGUGAACAGAUGGAUGCUGUGCCCAGACCUGCCCUCCCCAGGCUGGGUCCCAGCAGCACUGUGCGGCCGCCUCUGCUUCACAGGAGGGUCUUCGUUCUCUAGGCCGCUGGACCAGCUUUUAUUGCUGUGUAAGGGAUUUCCUCAGGCGGUGGCCUGGGACGUCAUGGAUUUAUUACCUCGGACUUCUGGGCACUGCCCAGCUGAGUCUGCUGCUCAGGGACUCGCAGGCUGUGAUCAAGGUGCAGGAGGGGCUGCACUCCUACCUGGACACUUGACCAGGGCUGGCCUCAGAGCCUCGGCCCGAGCUGUCCACCAGCCUCAGUGCCUUGCAGGCUCAUUCUGCUUGCUGGCAGAGCCCAUCUGCUUAGCUGCAGGACUAAGGUCCUUGUUCUCGUGCUGGCUGGCAGCGCGUGAUCCUCUCGGCUCCUGGAAGCCGCCCACACUCCCUUGCCAAGUGGCCCUCUCACCACAUGGCAGCUUCCUUCCUCAGAGUCACCACGAAGGAAUCUCUCUCUCACUCCAGCCUGCUCAGAGCUGUGACUGUGUGUGUGUGUGUGUGUGUGAGUCUGUGUGUGUCGUGUGCACACACACAUGUAUGAUCACUCUGCCGUAUGAUGUAAUUUAUCAGAGGACUGACAGCCCAUCGCUUUCGCCAUAUCCUGUUGGUUAAAGGCAAGUCCCAGGUUCCACCCGCACCCAGGCUGUGAUUCACUGGGGGUCACCUUAGGGUGUGUGUGCCACACCUAUCCCCUCAGAGUUCUGUUAUCUGUUGGGUGAUGAACAAAUUUAUGUAUUUUCCUUCCACGUACACUAUUUGCAUUUUCCCCAGGAUGUUCAGGAAGUAAUUUCCUAUCUCCAGAUAACGUGAUAACAUCGGGUAUCCUGGCAAUGUUCGGACUGGUUUCCUUUGAGGCAGUGGAAGAGGUGGCCUCACUACCAGAAGCCUUCACUCUUCAGGGUCACUGCCCAGGUGGCCGUCCACUGGCCAUAUCAGUUCACCCAUUUACUGGUUUAUAUUUCUUGAGCAUCUGCUGUGUGCUUAGCAUCGUAUGUAGAGAUAAUGCUAGUCUCUUCCUGGGGAGCCGACUUCUUUACUUCCUUCUUUUCCGUCUGCUGAGUAAAAGCAUAUUCCUUUGCUUUCAGUCAAGAUACAUGUUCAACCACAAAUCACAGAAAGCCCAACAGUGACUUCAAUAAGUAAGGAUGGAUUUUAAUCACCUAACAAGAAGCCCAGGACCAGGCAGUCCAGGGCUGGUGCAGCUGCUCAAAGAUGUCAUCCUUGUCCCAGACUCCUUGCUCCAGCAUCUAACUUAGUCUUCAAGGUCACAAGACUGCUACCACAGCACCAGCCAUUGCAUCCAUAUUUCAAACAGGAAGAAGCAGGAAAGGCAAAGAGACUGGCCUUUUUGUCCUAGAAGGAUCACCCUUCCUCAGGACUUCCGCCUACAUCACAUAGGCCAGAACUCGGUCACAUAGACACUAGUAACUCCGAGAGAACUGGGGGAAGUGGAUUUUGUAGCUGGGCACCUCGUCAUCAGGAAAAAAAUCAAGCAGGAAGAUGGGAAAUGGAUUGGGGGUUGGUCACCUGCGGGACCACUGCGGGGCUUUGGGCCCAAUCUCACAGCCUCCCAAAGCUCAGAAAAUACACCUACAGUUUCCUGCAGUGACGGCGGCUGAGUCUUUCUGGGUCCUCGUCGACAGGCUGUGACGACACAGGGGUGUUCUUGCUUUAUUUGCCAGCAAGGCAUAAUCUGAGCAAAAGCAGGUGUCUUCAAAUGGAACUCACGGUCUUGUGGCCCAGGAGCCCUGCCGUCCAGAGCUCACUAGGGCAGGAGAGGUCUUGUGCCAGCAGUGCUUAGGGGAGAGGUCUCUUUUCCUUUUCUUCUGAAAAACAUGCACAAAUGUAAGGGAAUUCUGUGCAGGCCCUGGCCCUGUCUGCCCUGAGAGCCAGCCCACUUGCUCACCCCUGCUCUGCCCUGGGUCCCGGCGGUGACCCCUGCUGGCUUUGUUGUGAUUGCAGCCUGAGCCUGGCUGAGAGGCCCCGGCAGCAGAGUCGGGCUUGGGAGGAAGGGAAAAGCAGGGGUUUUCCUCUCCCUUUUGACCUCGGGUCCUGUCCCCACCGCAACUGUAGCUCCACCGUGGCUCCAGUGUCCCCAGAAGGCCUGCUGAGGUUUCCACUUUGCUCAGUGGCCCCAACCCCUGAGCCCAGUGACAUCACCUUUCUGUGUUGCUCUCUGGCCCGGGGCCGGCAGCUGCUGGCAUUGGUCUCGGUUCUCUGUUGGCUUCCUAGCCCUAACCCUAACUCUCCCAUCCCCACGGUGUGACCAGUACCUCGCCUAAGUCCCACUGCUUUAAAUAUCCCAGUGGGUUUUGCCCGCUGGCUAGAUCCCAACUCAGAGAAACAGUACAAUAAACACCCAAAACACCCAUCACUUCGGUUUGACAAUGAUUGCCACUCCACGAUACUUGUUUCAUCUUCUUUUGUUUCUGUGGGAAAAAAUCCGAGCCCUCCUGGUGUUGCUUAAAUGAGUUCAGUAUGUAUCUCUCAAGAAUAAGGACAUUUUCUUACAUAACAAGUAUAUUCAAACUGCUCCCCCCUGUGUUCACACAUUAACACACCUAACGAAAGGAGCAAACGUUCCCUGUGCUCGCGCACUACCCAAUACACAGUCAAAUUCUCCCAGCUGCUCUGAAGGUGACUAUUUUACAGUUGGUUUGUUUGAACUAGGGUUUAAACAAGACCCACACAUUGCAUUUGGCAGAUGUGUUUCCCGGGUGUCUUUUAAUCUGAAAUGUCACAAGAAGUCACACACGCUCACAGUAGGGGGCACAGCCAUACUGAGCCCCCGACUCAACCUGUGUGUGCCCGCACCCCCCGCAGAGCCCCUUACACAAACUGCUUCCUCUCCCGGGACAUCUCCGGAUGCCACAGCUGCGUACUGAACUCUGCUCCCUGCCGCAGGCAGUAAGGGGUACGUUGUCUGUAAAGAACUUAAAAACAAAUAAUAAAACCAUUUGCUAUAGGCUGAAAUGUGUCCCUCCCCCAAGAUUCAUAAGUUGAAGCCUUAAUCUCCAGUACGAUGGUGUUUGGAAGUGGAGCCUUUGGGUAACGAGGUCACGAGGAUGGGGUCCGCAUGAUGGGAUUAGUGCCCUUAUAAGAAGAGAGGACAGAGAGCUUGUUUCCCUCUCUCUGUCUCUGUCUCUCCCUUCCCCCUGCCAUGUGAGGACACAGUGAAAAGGCCAGAAGAAGGAACUGAAUCUGCUGGCACCCUGACCUUGGACUUCCAGCUUCCAGGACUGUGAGAAGUAAAUGUCUGUUGCUUAAGCCCCCCAGUCGGUGGUAUUUUGUUACAGCAGCCUGAGCUAAGACACCACUAAAAGUCAGUCAGCUUUUUGUUACCAGCAUGUACCAGCAGUUCUAAAGAACAUCAGUGAUAAAAUACUCCUUCCUGCAGCCUACAGGGCUCCCAUCACCCCCUCUUGUUAUGUCAUUGGUCAAUGUGACUCUUGUUAAGACUAUGCCAGGGGCUUCCCUGGUGGCGCAGUGGUUAAGAAUCCGCCUGCCAGCGCAGAGGACAUGGGUUCAAGCCCUGGUCCGGGAAGAUCCCACAUGCCACGGAGCAACUAAGCCCGUGCACUACAGCUACUCAGCCUGCUCUCUAGAGCCCACAAGCCACAACUACUGAUCCCAUGUGCCACAACUACUGAGCCCAUAUGCCACAAGUACUGAAGCCUGUGUGCCCAGAGCCCAUGCUCUGCAGCAAGAGAAGCUACCGCAAUGAGAAGCCCACAUACCGCUAUAAAGACCCAAUGCAGCCUAAAAUAAAUAAAUUGAAUUUUUAAAAAAGGACUAUGACAAAAAGAUAUGACUGAAUCAUCAAGAAGCAAAGUUAGUGUGUUGAAUAUGUGACUAAAAUGUCAGUAGGUAAAUCUGAUAAGGAUACGUACCGUAAAUUAACAUUUAUCUAAAGUCUAAAAGCACACAAAAUACUACUACUAUUAUUAAGAUAUAUAUACAUAUAUAACCAAAGUGUAAGGACUUUCCUAGAAAUAGCAGACACCAAAUUUAAGAUAGUGGUUGUCUCUGGGAGAGAUAGUAAAUAAGAGAGGAGAGAGAAAUAAAAGAGGUCCAUAGACAUAAAGGUAGCUUUUCCUGUCAUAGGCUAGGUGGUUUGUUAAGUUAUUCCCCACACAUUUUUUUUCUAAGGUAUAGUUGAUUUACAAUAUUGUGUUAGUUUCAGGUGUACAGCACGGCAAUUCAGUUAUAUAUAUAUAUAUAUAUAUAUAUAUAUAUAUACACACACACACACACAUACAUCUAUUCUUUUUCAGACUCUUUACCCUUAAAGAAGGGUAAACUCUACCCAUAGUAUUGAGUAGAGUGCCCUGUGCUGUACAGUAGGUCCUUGUUUAUCUAUUUUAUAUACAGUAGUGUGUGUAUGUUAAUCCCAAACUCCUCAUUUAUCCCUCCCCCCUUUCCCUUUUGGUAGCCGUAAGUUUGUUUUCUAUGUGUAUCUCUGUUUCGGAAAUAAGUUCAUUUGUAUCUUUUUUUUUUUUAGAUUCCACAUAUACGCGAUAUCAUACGCUAUUUGUCUCCCCCUACGCUUUUGCAUGGUUUAAAUAUCUUAUUCAAAGAAUGCCCGUUGAUCAGCCGUGUGCUGGUCAGGCCUACCACCAGGCUCGGUUUCCAGUUUCUAUGACGUGGCUUCUGUCCUGGCCUGGGGGCAUGACUGAGCCUGGUGCUUCUGAGCCCAGGGCUGGAAACAAGGCAGGUAUGUGGCUGAGCAGGUGGGCAGUGGCCAGAGCUGGAGGGUGGUGGUCACCAUAUUGGGACCCUGGGAGUCAUUGGGGUAGAUCAGUGGCGGGGCACCAGGGAGGUGGGUGACCUUGAGAGCACACAAGGGACAGUGAGGGUGGGGUCUGCAGGAGUGGAAGGGUGUGGAGAGAAGGGGGAUGGGCAUAUCCAGCCCCGUGGCUGGUCUGCUGUAGGAGGGCAGCCGUGGUAAAAAUGGAAGCAGCCAGAGAGUGCUAUUUAUAAGAAUAACUACAAAGGCUUGACAACCCAGAGAGAGCGCUGAAGAAGUAAAUUGAGGGCUGCUGGGGAAACGCUCAGGGCUUCUCAUCUUCAAAGCAUUUCUGAGACACGAGCUCAUGAAUCCUCCGCCCAGGGCUCUGAGCGAGACACGGGAAAGAAGGGAGGUGGGGACAACGCGUGGGUGACCUCCCCAAAGCAGCGGGAGCUGGCGGGUGGCUCACGGAAUGCGCGCUCGUCCCCUCCGGCCGGCUCCGCGCCCUGGGCCUCACCGGCUGCCAGGCUGGGUCACUGCGGGCCCGUCGAUGAAGGCAAGCCGAGGCUGCUGGUCAUGGGUCCAGGUGUGGGUCCGGGUAGAGCCCUGGCUGAGGCCCACGGGACUCAACACACGGGCGAGGGCUGCUGCGCAAACCCCAGGCGGGAGGCGGGUGUGAAGCAGACGAGGCGCCGGGGCGGGAAGGAGGGCAGAGAAGAGCCAGGAACGUGUGCCCCUACACUUGGACGGGGGGCUGUCUGGGACUUUGGCUGCACUGCCGGGAAUUCUAGGGUCCUACAGCAGGGAGGCUGUGAUCACGCUUCCCUGGAGGAAGAGACCAAGAGAACGAGUGUCUCUCAGGGUGGCAACGGUGGGGUUUGAACCUGUGGCCCUUUGCACGAAUCCCCUGGCCCCUGGCAGUCCCCACUCAUGCCUCCUUUCUACCCAAGGGCCUCUCCUCUGGAGGCUUUCCCGGCUGCCCCAGGGUGUCCCCAGCGGCUGAUCCGAAAGCACCCACCACGCUCAGCUGGAAGCGGCUCGUCGCUCGUCGCCCACUGGACGAGGGGCGGGCUUUCCGCUCGCUGGCUCCCCGCCCUGGCAGCAGCCGGGCUCGCCCCCGGUAUCCUGCAGGGUGACCUCCAAGUGGCAAAGCCUUUCCCUGUGUCUCAGGUCCAGGGGAGAAGCUGGGGGUCAGAAGUGACUGCCCUGCGGCCGAGGGGCUGGGCGGCCCAACAGGCAGGCGCCCCGACCGAUGGUGCGGAACAAAAACACGCUGUCCCCGCGGUGAGCCCUGUCCUAGUGUCGACGGAGCAUCCAGGUCCCAGAUGCGCGGAUGCAUCCACGAACGAAACAGGGACGGUGGUAACAAACUCUGCCCCACGAAGCACCAGACCCAGACCCAAAGGCAUUGCCGCAGUUUCAUGGUUCAGCACGUUCUCCCCCGGCAUCCGUGGUGAAGACUAUUUCAUCGUCCUCCACAGAAGGCGUAUUUGUGUGUGCAUAUGCUUGAGAGAAAUUUACUGCAAAGAUACGGGUACGAGGCCAGCUGGCAGCACUUUCCAAGCCAGGAGCCUCUUUGAGCAAUCUGCCCUAGAGUUCUUGUUUGCAAUGCUCAAAACCCCGCCGGUUUCUCUUUAAGGCUCGUAUGAAGGAGCUUCAUGGAAAAAAAAGCCCUGGGCAAAAAGCAUGCCAAGGGUUGAAGAAAGGAGGAUAAAGAUACAGUGACGUGGGCAGAAUAGUGACGCCUCCACCCCUCCGCCACCAAAGACGUCCACAUCCCAAUACCUAGAAGUGCGAAUGCGUUGGGUCGUACAGCAAAGGGGAAUUAAGGAGCAGUUUGCUGUGUCCUUGCUGUAAGCCAUUUUUUUGUUGAAAGAGAUAGGGCAAAAACAAACAAGUGGGCAAACCAAAUCCUAGCUUUAAAAACAAAAAGGCCACUGAAGACAUAUCAAGGCCUUCCUGCUAUUAUCGAGCGAAUUCUUUCCCAGGCUGGUCUGAGUUGCACCCAGACUUUACAUUAGGCUUUGUUCCAAGGGGCUGGAGGUGCCAGAGGGGAGACUGCAGCCUGAAAGAGGUUCAAGGAAAAAGGCUUCAUUUACAGGCGUGCCCACAUCAUACAGUUGGCAGUGCUGAGCUGAACGGUCUCCCAGCUUCCAGGGGAAAAUGAAAGACCUUCCCCCUACAGCUUCCCUUUCAAGCUCUCACAGCUGGAAGGGCCGGACAGCCAAGUUCCUCCCUUUUCAAUGCGGGUUGUCAUUCGGAUGCCAGGAUCUGCUGAUCUAUUCGCCAAAUACCCAACGUGAGAUCACGUCUUCUUGCUUAUCCAUCAUUAAAUGCUCCAUUUAAUGCAGAAGAACCUCACUUUCCCUUUUCCUCUUCUGCCACAGCUAAAAGAGAACGCCUCCACCAAGAGAUAAAAAUUACAAAGGCAGUAAAAGAAAGGAACACGAUUUCUGAGCAGGCCCCUCAUUUGUAAUUCCGCACCAGAGGCUAUGCGUUUCAUCGAAUCUGAGAACAGGAAGGGGGCUUGGGGACCCUCUUGUGUAACCCCCUUAUUUUACAGAUGGAGAAGCAGUCGCCUGGAGAGGUAAAGUGGCUCACCCUGGACCACACAACUAGUCAAGGACACGGGCAGUACCAGAUGCACAUCACCCGACUCCAGCCUUUACCCGCUGCACCACGGACAUCUUUAUCAGACCACAGUCACAAACUCCUGUGCGAUUUAAUGCCCUUGAAGAAGAACAAGGUGAGAAAUAGCCCCGCUGCUUCUAGGCUAUUUUAAACCAGCAACCCCAGCAGUCACGCUAAAGAGCCCAGCUUAUUUUUCUUGUCACACGGAAUCAAAGCGUUUCAGGCAGACUUUCCUAACUCACAAAUAAGCUGUGUUCCAACAGUGUGUUUGGAAUUUGCUAUUUAGGACGCAGCAUGUGUUUUCUUCCCGGGAAAUCACAUGGUCCAAUGUGGUUAGAACCCCGGGCCAGGUCGCAAAGGCUGACUUAACCAAGAAGUAACCACAGUGGAGUCGAAGCAAGCCUUCACCCUAUACUUUCCAAGCAAAGGCACAUUCCAAGUUUCAGAUGGAACUAGUGGGAACACAGCAAGCCCACCAGGGCUCCGGCAGGAAGAGGUCUGGCUCAGAUAAGAGCUAAGAGGCCCCAGGGCUUCCCUGGUGGCACAGUGGUUGAGAAUCCGCCUGCCAAUGUAGGGGACACGGGCUCGAGCCCUGGUCCAGGAAGAUCCCACGUGCCGCGGAGCAGCUAAGCCCGUGCGCCACAACUACUGAGCCCGAGUGCCACAACUACUGAGCCCGUGUGCUGCAACUACUGAGCCCACGUUCCGCAACUACUGAAGCCCACGCGCCUAGAGCCCGUGCUCUGCUACAAGAGUUGCCACCGCAAUGAGAAGCCCGUGCACUGCAAGGGAGAGUAGCCCCCGCUCGCCGCAACUAGAGAAAGCCCACGCGCAGCAACGGAGACCCAAUGCAGCCAAAAAUAAAUAAAUUACUGAAUUAUUUAAAAAAAAAAAAAAA